This 253-nucleotide ribosomal RNA is filed under the name uncultured bacterium. RNAcentral's name for it is "partial 16S ribosomal RNA". It matches the Rfam family "Bacterial small subunit ribosomal RNA", at positions 524 to 776 of the family's 1533-position model. The record is from RNAcentral.
UACGUAGGCAGCAAACGUUGUUCGGAAUUACUGGGCGUAAAGAGUGUGUAGGCGGUUUUGUAAGUUUGGGGUGAAAUCUCCCGGCCUAACUGGGGGGGUGCGCCGAAAACUGCAAGGCUUGAGUGCUGGAGAGGAGAGCGGAAUUCCUGGUGUAGCGGUGAAAUGCGUAGAUAUCAGGAGGAACACCGGCGGUGUAGACGGCUCUCUGGACAGUAACUGACGCUGAGACACGAAAGCGUGGGGAGCAAACAGG